AGCGAACGCUGGCGGCAGGCCUAACACAUGCAAGUCGAACGGACCCUUCGGGGUUAGUGGCGGACGGGUGAGUAACACGUGGGAACGUGCCUUUAGGUUCGGAAUAGCUCCUGGAAACGGGUGGUAAUGCCGAAUGUGCCCUUCGGGGGAAAGAUUUAUCGCCUUUAGAGCGGCCCGCGUCUGAUUAGCUAGUUGGUGAG
This 200-nucleotide ribosomal RNA is filed under the name uncultured bacterium. RNAcentral's name for it is "partial 16S ribosomal RNA". It matches the Rfam family "Bacterial small subunit ribosomal RNA", at positions 29 to 256 of the family's 1533-position model. The record is from RNAcentral.